This 568-nucleotide small RNA is filed under the name Pongo abelii (Sumatran orangutan). Its description in RNAcentral is "retained intron". The record is from RNAcentral. Lineage: Eukaryota; Metazoa; Chordata; Mammalia; Primates; Hominidae.
GGAAUCGCAGUUUGACCCCGGAAGUGCGGGCGCUCAGGGAGCUGUCACCGUGGUCGGCGGCGGCGGAGGCGGCGGCGGCACAGAGCCGGUGGUGGAGCCGCCGAGGCCACCUCGUGUAUGCAGAGACCAUGUGUGUCUGAUCUGCUGGGAUCCUAGAGCUGGAACAGGUUUCAUGGACUAGGCAGACUGGUCCUCUCUUAUUAAUCCUUCUAGGGAGGGUCACGCAGCACAAUGCCAGCUCUGCCCCUGGACCAACUCCAGAUCACCCACAAGGACCCGAAGACAGGAAAGCUGAGGACUUCACCAGCGCUGCACCCCGAGCAGAAGGCAGACCGGUAUUUUGUGUUAUACAAACCGCCCCCUAAAGACAACAUUCCCGCCCUAGUGGAGGAGUACCUGGAACGCGCCACCUUCGUAGCCAAUGACCUCGACUGGCUCCUGGCCUUGCCUCACGAUAAAUUCUGGUGCCAGGUGAUCUUUGACGAGACUCUACAGAAGUGCCUGGACUCCUACCUGCACUAUGUCCCCCGCAAAUUCGAUGAGGGGGUGGCCUCAGCCCCUGAGGUUG